RNAcentral lists this long non-coding RNA (495 nucleotides) under Bos taurus (domestic cattle). RNAcentral's name for it is "long non-coding RNA NONBTAT012071". The record is from RNAcentral. Lineage: Eukaryota; Metazoa; Chordata; Mammalia; Artiodactyla; Bovidae.
AGGUUUCAAGUGAGAGUGAGUCUACUGUUGGGCUUCCAGGACAUUUACUUCUUCCCAAGAGAAAGACCUAGACCCCUUCUUCCUCUAGAGACUGAAGCAUCAAGAUACGAUGGCUGAAUAUGGAUGGACCUAGAGACUGUCAUGCUGAGUGAAGUGGCAUGAAAUUCUUCUGGAAGGAAUCACAGUCUGGAAAAGGGAACCCAGGUCCCUUGCCCCAGUGGUUUGGCUGCUUGGAAAAAUAUUCCACCUACUUGACAUACUAUUUUUGAAAUCUGGAGCAUCAGAUUUGACUGAGCCAAGAACAGGCCAGAGCUUGGAGCCCUUGGAAGCUGAGUAAUGCCCUGACCAGUGGAGUGCGGAACCUUUUAAAACCGAAGUAUAGUUGCUGUACGAUAUUUUAUAAGUUACAGGUGUACAACAUAGUGAUUUACAAUUUGUAAAGAUUCUUCUCCAUUUACACUCACUAUAAAAUAUUGGCUAUAUUCCCUGUUCUAC